This is a long non-coding RNA of Stegostoma tigrinum, 476 nucleotides long. RefSeq lists it as uncharacterized. The record is from RefSeq and is a predicted model, not a curated record. NCBI's taxonomy places the organism in Eukaryota, Metazoa, Chordata, Chondrichthyes, Orectolobiformes, Stegostomatidae. The transcript has 3 exons.
CUUUUUCCGGCAAAUGUCAGCUCCGCGGGUCUUGGCUGUUUUCUUAAUGGUUUGGUUUUUACCUGUCGGGACUUGGAGCAUCUGGUUGAAAAAGUUUCAGAUUCCUUCUAGACGUGAUGCUUCUGCGACCGCGAUCUCUCCCAGGAAAACAGAUGUUACUCUGAACCAGGGCACUGUGAAGACACUGCAAUCAAACGACGGCUGUUAAUACUUAAGAAGCUUCCAAGAUGAACUGAUUGGGUCGAAGAGCAUUUAACAAGCAAGGAAGAAAGAAGCAGUGCUGCUUACCCGGUCUGCUGUAGCACUGGCAAUAAUCAUGUCCAGUACGCUCGUGUUGUACUCAGGUGUGCAGAGCUUGCUUGGGGCCACUUUCAUUGCAACUGAGAGUGCUACACUUCGUCCAUGUCUCACCAUCCAAUCAAUACCUGACACAUCAGCUGCAAAGCAAAAUUGUAAUGUCAACAAUUUGACUCUCA